CAAAAAAAUGAUGGAUUUAUUGAUUUCUUUCCGUAAAAAAUUUAAGACAAAGAGUUUGAUGUUUUAAGUAUUUUACAACGCAAUUUCUUUGUUCUUUGCCUUCAUCAGCUACAAAACAUCGUAAUAAAAUCUUAAUGAAAUUUCCCUAAUGUUUUUGUUGAUUAUUUUGUAAGAUGUCAGAAAUUUCCGCGCUGUCAUUCAUUAAUCAUUCGACUUUUAUCAACAUCAUCAAAAAUUAACCGGAAUUUCGCGCAAAAAUGGCGCAGAAAUAGAAUUUUGGCCGCAAAACAAUUCAAGUGUAAUUAUUAAAGCAUGAAACGCGAAGAAAACGCCGAAGAGCGGCGAUAAAUUGCCGCAUAAAUAACAGAAAAGUACAAGAAAUUAAAUAAAUUGCGUGCGUGCGCGGAUCGUUCGCGUUCUCUUCGAGGGCGCUUUUAUAGAUGCUUAACCACCCUUCAGACACUCGGCGAGCUCGGAGAUGUGAAUGAAGAAAAGCAGCAGCAGCAGCAGCAGUGGAAAGGGUGCGAGGGCAGGAAAAUUGGCCGUUCCGGCUCGUAAAACAAGAUGUCAUCGACUGCUGCGUGUGGCAAGGGAGGGCGUCAUCGUUGACUUCAAAGUUUUACGACAUAAUACGCCAGUGACGCCAGUUUUGGGACGUUUUAUAAGAUUUUACGUCGUUUUGUUAUCCCGCGUGUGUCAAUUUCCGCCGAUUUAUGUCGAUUGACCCUCCUCCCACAGCAACCCCUCCAAUUAUCCCGCCCCCAUUUAUAGUUUCCAGCGUUUUGCGACGUUUUUGAGCUUGAUAUCUCUUGUUUUCUGCAUUUUGAACAAUAAAACUGCACGCAGUUCAUUGUA
Molecule: long non-coding RNA, 855 nt
Organism: Dalotia coriaria
Lineage: Eukaryota; Metazoa; Arthropoda; Insecta; Coleoptera; Staphylinidae
Exons: 2
Source: RefSeq, a predicted model, not a curated record